GACGAACGCUGGCGGCGUGCUUAACACAUGCAAGUCGAACGGAAAGGCCCUGCUUUUGUGGGGUGCUCGAGUGGCGAACGGGUGAGUAACACGUGAGUAACCUGCUCUUGACUUUGGGAUAACUUCAGGAAACUGGGGCUAAUACCGGAUAGGAGCUCCUGCUGCAUGGUGGGGGUUGGAAAGUUUCGGCGGUUGGGGAUGGACUCGCGGCUUAUCAGCUUGUUGGUGGGGUAGUGGCUUACCAAGGCUUUGACGGGUAGCCGGCCUGAGAGGGUGACCGGGGACAAGAGGACUAAGGUACGGCCCAGAGUCGUACAUGGGACAACGGGGGGGAAUAUGACACAGUGGUACGGAGCCUGAUACAGAGACGCCGCGGUCGGGAAGACGUCCUUCGGGUAGAGAACCGCUUUCGCCUAUUACGAAGCUUGUGUGACGGUAAUGAGUGAAGAAGCACCGGCUAACUACGUG
Molecule: ribosomal RNA, 468 nt
Filed under: uncultured bacterium
Lineage: Bacteria
Description: partial 16S ribosomal RNA
Rfam family: Bacterial small subunit ribosomal RNA
Source: RNAcentral